GCCGAGGAGGUAUUGC
This 16-nucleotide ribosomal RNA is filed under the name Cicer microphyllum. RNAcentral describes it as "partial 18S ribosomal RNA". Lineage: Eukaryota; Viridiplantae; Streptophyta; Magnoliopsida; Fabales; Fabaceae. The record is from RNAcentral.